GACGAACGCUGGCGGCGUGCUUAACACAUGCAAGUCGAACGGAAAGGCCCUGCUUUUGUGGGGUGCUCGAGUGGCGAACGGGUGAGUAACACGUGAGUAACCUGCCCUUGACUUUGGGAUAACUUCAGGAAACUGGGGCUAAUACCGGAUAGGAGCUCCUGCUGCAUGGUGGGGGUUGGAAAGUUUCGGCGGUUGGGGAUGGACUCGCGGCUUAUCAGCUUGUUGGUGGGGUAGUGGCUUACCAAGGCUUUGACGGGUAGCCGGCCUGAGAGGGUGACCGGCCACAUUGGGACUGAGAUACGGCCCAGACUCCUACGGGAGGCAGCAGUGGGGAAUAUUGCACAAUGGGCGGAAGCCUGAUGCAGCAACGCCGCGUGCGGGAUGACGGCCUUCGGGUUGUAAACCGCUUUCGCCUGUGACGAAGAGUGAGUGACGGUAAUGGGUAAAGAAGCACCGGCUAACUACGUG
RNAcentral lists this ribosomal RNA (468 nucleotides) under uncultured bacterium. RNAcentral describes it as "partial 16S ribosomal RNA". It matches the Rfam family "Bacterial small subunit ribosomal RNA", at positions 28 to 507 of the family's 1533-position model. The record is from RNAcentral.